This 433-nucleotide ribosomal RNA is filed under the name uncultured bacterium. RNAcentral describes it as "partial 16S ribosomal RNA". It matches the Rfam family "Bacterial small subunit ribosomal RNA", at positions 29 to 507 of the family's 1533-position model. The record is from RNAcentral.
AACGAACGCUGGCGGCAUGCCUAACACAUGCAAGUCGAACGAGACCUUCGGGUCUAGUGGCGCACGUGUGCGUAACGCGUGGGAACCUGCCUUUAGGUUCGGAAUAACUCAGAGAAAUUUGAGCUAAUACCGGAUGAUGUCUUCGGACCAAAGAUUUAUCGCCUUUAGAUGGGCCCGCGUUGGAUUAGCUAGUUGGUGGGGUAAAGGCCUACCAAGGCGACGAUCCAUAGCUGGUCUGAGAGGAUGAUCAGCCACACUGGGACUGAGACACGGCCCAGACUCCUACGGGAGGCAGAAGUGGGGAAUAUUGGACAAUGGGCGAAAGCCUGAUCCAGCAAUGCCGCGUGAGUGAUGAAGGCCUUAGGGUUGUAAAGCUCUUUUACCCGAGAUGAUAAUGACAGUAUCGGGAGAAGAAGCUCCGGCUAACUCCGUG